CAAUUGGAAAGAGGAGUGGCGGACGGGUGAGUAACACGUGGGUAACCUACCCAUCAGAGGGGGAUAACACUUGGAAACAGGUGCUAAUACCGCAUAACAGUUUAUGCCGCAUGGCAUAAGAGUGAAAGGCGCUUUCGGGUGUCGCUGAUGGAUGGACCCGCGGUGCAUUAGCUAGUUGGUGAGGUAACGGCUCACCAAGGCCACGAUGCAUAGCCGACCUGAGAGGGUGAUCGGCCACACUGGGACUGAGACACGGCCCAGACUCCUACGGGAGGCAGCAGUAGGGAAUCUUCGGCAAUGGACGAAAGUCUGACCGAGCAACGCCGCGUGAGUGAAGAAGGUUUUCGGAUCGUAAAACUCUGUUGUUAGAGAAGAACAAGGACGUUAGUAACUGAACGUCCCCUGACGGUAUCUAACCAGAAAGCCACGGCUAACUACGUGCCAGCAGCCGCGGUAAUACGUAGGUGGCAAGCGUUGUCCGGAUUUAUUGGGCGUAAAGCGAGCGC
Molecule: ribosomal RNA, 506 nt
Filed under: Enterococcus faecalis
Lineage: Bacteria; Bacillati; Bacillota; Bacilli; Lactobacillales; Enterococcaceae
Description: bacterial SSU rRNA
Rfam family: Bacterial small subunit ribosomal RNA
Source: RNAcentral